UCGGGAAUUUUGGGCAAUGGGGGAAACCCUGACCCAGCAACGCCGCGUGAAGGAUGAAGUAUUUCGGUAUGUAAACUUCGAAAGAAUAGGAAGAAUAAAUGACGGUACUAUUUAUAAGGUCCGGCUAACUACGUGCCAGCAGCCGCGGUAAUACGUAGGGACCAAGCGUUGUUCGGAUUUACUGGGCGUAAAGGGCGCGUAGGCGGCAUGACAAGUCACUUGUGAAAUCUCUGGGCUUAACCCAGAACGGCCAAGUGAUACCGUCGCGCUAGAGUGCAGAAGGGGCAAUCGGAAUUCUUGGUGUAGCGGUGAAAUGCGUAGAUAUCAAGAGGAACACCUGAGGUGAAGACGGGUUGCUGGGCUGACACUGACGCUGAGGCGCGAAAGCCAGGGGAGCAAACGGGAUUAGAUACCCAAGUAGUCCCUGAGCGGGCUGGCA
This 439-nucleotide ribosomal RNA is filed under the name uncultured bacterium. RNAcentral's name for it is "bacterial SSU rRNA". It matches the Rfam family "Bacterial small subunit ribosomal RNA", at positions 355 to 814 of the family's 1533-position model. The record is from RNAcentral.